CCCCUCUCGGGGUCGCACCUGGAGAGUUCCCUGUACUCUACCAGCCUCGACUACAGGAGGAAGAGUCAGGCAGAGGCAUAUCCAUUCCAUUCCUAGCUUGGGCAGUAGCUAGCAAGUGGAAAACAAUUUGCUACAAGU
Small nucleolar RNA from Tachyglossus aculeatus (Australian echidna), 138 nucleotides. NCBI's taxonomy places the organism in Eukaryota, Metazoa, Chordata, Mammalia, Monotremata, Tachyglossidae. The record is from RefSeq and is a predicted model, not a curated record.